UACGUAGGGUGCAAGCGUUAAUCGGAAUUACUGGGCGUAAAGCGUGCGCAGGCGGUUUUGUAAGUCUGUCGUGAAAUCCCCGGGCUCAACCUGGGAAUUGCGAUGGAGACUGCAAGGCUAGAAUCUGGCAGAGGGGGGUAGAAUUCCACGUGUAGCAGUGAAAUGCGUAGAGAUGUGGAGGAACACCGAUGGCGAAGGCAGCCCCCUGGGUCAAGAUUGACGCUCAUGCACGAAGCUGGGGAGCAAACAGG
RNAcentral lists this ribosomal RNA (251 nucleotides) under uncultured bacterium. RNAcentral describes it as "partial 16S ribosomal RNA". It matches the Rfam family "Bacterial small subunit ribosomal RNA", at positions 524 to 776 of the family's 1533-position model. The record is from RNAcentral.